GGCUGUGGACCACCUUGCCCAUGCGAUGGGAGACAAGCUGGGUUUUUUUUCCUUUUGGCUCUAAGGUUAUUCUAGGGAGGUGGGUAGCUACAGCCCACGUCUGUUGCUUAUUAACACCUCGAGACCAGCAGGUGAAAAAGAGACAGUGUUUAAUAGAGAAGGAGGAAGAACACAGAGAACAGGGAGGAAACACAUGCCCUUCUCGGAUGGCUUCACAGCUGGCAGCCAGGGGAAGGUCCAGCUCGGCCGGGGAGUUGGCGUCCGGGCAGACGAGGAGGCUCCCGUCCAGCGAGAGGAUGAGGUAUUUCUCCUUCCACUGCUUAAAGAGGAAGCCCCCUGCAAAGGACUACUGGAGGUCAAGAUUGGGUGGGGGAACAAGGUCAAGAGAGGCGAGCGCGUGGGCAGAGGGCCUUGAGUGGUGUGUAUCUGGAGGAGCGCCAGCCAGCUCCAGAACAGCUACUAACGCAGGGGUGGCCUCUUGCAUGGAUGCGUCUCUGCAAGGACCUUGCAAAGACCGAUGUCAGGGCACAGCACGGCCGUUAACUGAGACCUGCAGAGUUGGAAGGGAACCCGAGGGGGGGGGGUCAUCCAGUCCAACCUCCGGCCAGUGCAAGAAAUCUGCAGCAGAGCUGACGCAGCCCUUCAGUCUCUGUUGAAAAACCUCCUAUGGAGGCACGUUCUCCCACUUUCCAAGGGAAACUCUUGAGCAGCUCCUUCAUGAAUGGCUUCCUUACAAUUAAUUCUUUCCCACCAAUAACAAAAGUAUGACUCAGUUACAUUUCCAUGGCAUCUUAACCGAUAACAUCGGAGAUGCAACUACUGUAUCCCUCCUUUCUGGAAACAGUAACUAUCUCCAGAGGAGAUGCAAGUGUAAGAUUUCCAUGGCAUCUUAACCGAUAACAUCGUCUGACUCCACCAGUGAUGCAACUAUCCCUCCUUUCUGGAAACAGUAACUACCUCCAGAGGAGAUGCAAGUGUAACAGGAGCCUCUUCUUGAGAAGAAACAGAUCAGAACCAAACUUUCCUUGCUCUUUCGCCCUUAUAAGCCUCGUGGUGGCAAAUGUCACGAGCAGGGAUGUCUUAAGCCCGACUCAACAGUGAAUCGUCUGACUCCACCAGUGAUGCAACUAUCCCUCCUUUCUGGAAACAGUAACUACCUCCAGAGGAGAUGCAAGUGUAACAGGAGCCUCUUCUUGAGAAGAAACAGAUCAGAACCAAACUUUCCUUGCUCUUUCGCCCUUAUAAGCCUCGUGGUGGCAAAUGUCACGAGCAGGGAUGUCUUAAGCCUGACUCAACAGUGAGUCCCAUGACUCCAGUCCCCAUCCCUGCUCAUGAGGAGGCACCUUUCAGGGUAAGAGAUUUAUUUACGGACUGUAAUCUAUGACAGUGUGGGGCAUGACGCAUCUCUUAGCCUAAGAGGCAACACAGGAUUCUUUGUCAUUUCCAAGGUCUUUCUGGGGUCUCUCUUCAGGCCACUUAGCCCUGGCGGGGGGUGGAGGAGGUUAAGAACAUGCCUUUCCCCCAUUUGUGGGUAAGCAAAGAUUGUGGUCCAACUUUUGGCUGUUUGGAAAGCUCCCCUGGCUGAGAGGCCAGAUGCCUCCUUUAUCCGGAGGAGUAAUUUGCUACUCAAGAGACUCUUUUUCCAUCCAUCUGCCA
This is a long non-coding RNA of Pogona vitticeps (central bearded dragon), 1656 nucleotides long. The record is from Ensembl. Lineage: Eukaryota; Metazoa; Chordata; Lepidosauria; Squamata; Agamidae.